AGAGUUUGAUCCUGGCUCAGGAUGAACGCUGGCGGCGUGCUUAACACAUGCAAGUCGAACGAAGCACUUUUACAGAUUUCUUCGGAAUGAAGUUUUAGUGACUGAGUGGCGGACGGGUGAGUAACGCGUAUCCAACCUGCCCACCACUUGGGGAUAACCUUGCGAAAGUAAGACUAAUACCCAAUGAUAUCUCUAGAAGACAUCUGAAAGAGAUUAAAGAUUCAUCGGUGAUGGAUGGGGAUGCGUCUGAUUAGCUUGUUGGCGGGGUAACGGCCCACCAAGGCAACGAUCAGUAGGGGUUCUGAGAGGAAGGUCCCCCACAUUGGAACUGAGACACGGUCCAAACUCAUACGGGAGGCAGCA
RNAcentral lists this ribosomal RNA (363 nucleotides) under uncultured bacterium. RNAcentral's name for it is "bacterial SSU rRNA". It matches the Rfam family "Bacterial small subunit ribosomal RNA", at positions 8 to 353 of the family's 1533-position model. The record is from RNAcentral.